AGCUUUGCGCAGUGGCAGUAUUGUAGCCAAUGAGGGUUAUCCGAGGCGUGAUUAUUGCUAAUUGAAGAAGGCUUCGGAGAAGAUGAUGCCAUGUUUGAGCCAAGUCUUCGAAGAAGAAUAAAUGUAAGUCAGACCAGA
This is a small nuclear RNA of Neogale vison (American mink), 138 nucleotides long. Its record names the gene U4. It matches the Rfam family "U4 spliceosomal RNA". Rfam says of the family: U4 small nuclear RNA (U4 snRNA) is a component of the major U2-dependent spliceosome. Lineage: Eukaryota; Metazoa; Chordata; Mammalia; Carnivora; Mustelidae. The record is from Ensembl.